This 379-nucleotide ribosomal RNA is filed under the name uncultured eukaryote. RNAcentral's name for it is "partial 18S ribosomal RNA". It matches the Rfam family "Eukaryotic small subunit ribosomal RNA", at positions 592 to 975 of the family's 1831-position model. The record is from RNAcentral.
CAAUAGCGUAUAUUUAAGUUGUUGCAGUUAAAAAGCUCGUAAUUGGAUUUCGGAUGGGCUUGACCGGUCCGCCGUUUGGUGUGCACUGGUCGUGCCUAUCUUGCUGCCGGGGACGCGCUCCUGGCCUUAAUUGGCUGGGACGCGGAGUCGGCGAUGUUACUUUGAAAAAAUUAGAGUGUUCAAAGCAGGCCUAAGCUCUGAAUACAUUAGCAUGGAAUAACGCUAUAGGACUCUGGUCUUAUUGCGUUGGUCUUCGAGACCGGAGUAAUGAUUAAGAGGGACAGUUGGGGGCAUUCGUAUUUCAUUGUCAGAGGUGGAAAUUCUUGGAUCUAUGAAAGACGAACUUCUGCGAAAGCAUUUGCCAAGGAUGUUUUCAUUA